GGGCCCGCACAAGCAGCGGAGCAUGUGGUUUAAUUCGACGCAACGCGAAGAACCUUACCUGGGCUUGACAUGUUGGUGACCGCCGUGGAAACACGGUUUUCCUUCGGGACACCAUCACAGGUGGUGCAUGGCUGUCGUCAGCUCGUGUCGUGAGAUGUUGGGUUAAGUCCCGCAACGAGCGCAACCCCCGUUCCAUGUUGCCAGCAUUUAGUUGGGGACUCAUGGGAGACUGCCGGUGACAAACCGGAGGAAGGUGGGGAUGACGUCAAGUCAUCAUGCCCCUUAUGUCCAGGGCUACACACGUGCUACAUUGGCGCAUACAAAGGGCAGCAAUACCGCGAGGUGGAGCAAAUCCCAUAAAGUGCGCCUCGGUUCGGAUUGGAGGCUGAAACUCGCCUCCAUGAAGGUGGAGUUGCUAGUAAUCGCGGAUCAGCAAUGCCGCGGUGAAUACGUUCCCGGGCCUU
RNAcentral lists this ribosomal RNA (464 nucleotides) under uncultured bacterium. RNAcentral describes it as "bacterial SSU rRNA". It matches the Rfam family "Bacterial small subunit ribosomal RNA", at positions 917 to 1382 of the family's 1533-position model. The record is from RNAcentral.